This 253-nucleotide ribosomal RNA is filed under the name uncultured bacterium. Its description in RNAcentral is "partial 16S ribosomal RNA". It matches the Rfam family "Bacterial small subunit ribosomal RNA", at positions 524 to 776 of the family's 1533-position model. The record is from RNAcentral.
UACGAAGGGGGCGAGCGUUGUUCGGAUUUACUGGGCGUAAAGGGCGCGCAGGCGGCUAGUUUUGUCGAGUGUGAAAGCCCCGGGCUUAACCUGGGAACUGCGCUCGAAACGGGCUGGCUAGAGAUCGGGAGAGGAGAGUGGAAUUCCCAGUGUAGAGGUGAAAUGCGCAGAUAUCAGGAAGAACACCCGUGGCGAAGGCGGCUCUCUGGGACGGUACUGACGCUCAGGCACGAAAGCGUGGGGAGCAAACAGG